Molecule: ribosomal RNA, 254 nt
Filed under: uncultured bacterium
Lineage: Bacteria
Description: partial 16S ribosomal RNA
Rfam family: Bacterial small subunit ribosomal RNA
Source: RNAcentral
UACGGAGGGUGCGAGCGUUGUCCGGAAUCAUUGGGCGUAAAGGGCGCGUAGGUGGCCCGGUCAGUUCGUGGUGAAAGCGCGGGGCUCAACCCUGCGUCGGCCAUGAAUACUGCCGCGGCUGGAGCACUGUAGAGGCAGGCGGAAUUCCGGGUGUAGCGGUGGAAUGCGUAGAGAUCCGGAAGAACACCGGUGGCGAAGGCGGCCUGCUGGGCAGUUGCUGACGCUCAGGCGCGAUAGCGUGGGGAUCAAACAGG